Molecule: ribosomal RNA, 314 nt
Filed under: uncultured bacterium
Lineage: Bacteria
Description: bacterial SSU rRNA
Rfam family: Bacterial small subunit ribosomal RNA
Source: RNAcentral
AGUCAAUAGAUACCCGGGUAGUCCACGCCGUAAACGAUGAGUACUAGGUGUAGGAGGUAUCGACUCCUUCUGUGCCGCAGUUAAACACAAUAAGUACUCCGCCUGGGAAGUACGGUCGCAAGAUUAAAAACCUCAAACGGAAUUGGCGGGGGGUCCCGGCACAAGCAGCGGAGCAUGUGGUUUAACUUCGAAGCAACGCGAAGAACCUUACCUAGACUUGACAUCUCCUGAAUAGCGCAGAGAUGCGUGAAGCCCUUCGGGGUCAGGAAGACCAGGUGGUGCAUGGUUGUCGUCAGCUCGUGUCGUGAGAUGUU